UACAGAGGGGGCAAGCGUUGUUCGGAAUUACUGGGCGUAAAGGGCGCGUAGGCGGCCUGCUAAGUCGAACGUGAAAUCCCCGGGCUCAACCCGGGAACUGCGUCCGAUACUGGUAGGCUUGAAUUCGGGAGAGGGAUGCGGAAUUCCAGGUGUAGCGGUGAAAUGCGUAGAUAUCUGGAGGAACACCGGUGGCGAAGGCGGCUCGCUGGGCCAUUCCUGACGCUGAGACGCGAAAGCUAGGGGAGCGAACAGG
Molecule: ribosomal RNA, 253 nt
Filed under: uncultured bacterium
Lineage: Bacteria
Description: partial 16S ribosomal RNA
Rfam family: Bacterial small subunit ribosomal RNA
Source: RNAcentral